GGGGGGGGGGGGGGGGGGGGGGGGGGGGGGCGGGGCGGGGGGGGCGGGCGGGGCGGGGGGCGCGGGGGGGCGUGACGCGGGGGAACCUGCCCUUAGGUUCGGAAUAACUCCCCGAACGGGGUGCUACUACCGGCUAAUGUCUUCGGACCAAAGAUUUAUCGCCUUUGGAUGGGCCCGCGUUGGAUUAGCUAGUUGGUAGGGUAAAAGCCUACCAAGGCGACGAUCCAUAGCUGGUCUGAGAGGAUGAUCAGCCACACUGGGACUGAGACACGGCCCAGACUCCUACGGGAGGCAGCAGUGGGGAAUAUUGGACAAUGGGCGAAAGCCUGAUCCAGCAAUGCCGCGUGAGUGAUGAAGGCCUUAGGGUUGUAAAGCUCUUUUACCCGGGAUGAUAAUGACAGUACCGGGAGAAUAAGCUCCGGCUAACUCCGUG
This 433-nucleotide ribosomal RNA is filed under the name uncultured bacterium. Its description in RNAcentral is "partial 16S ribosomal RNA". It matches the Rfam family "Bacterial small subunit ribosomal RNA", at positions 39 to 507 of the family's 1533-position model. The record is from RNAcentral.